GACGAACGCUGGCGGCGGGCCUAAUACAUGCAAGUCGAGCGAAGUUUUUCUGGUGCUUGCACCGGAAAAACUUAGCGGCGAACGGGUGAGUAACACGUAAAGAACCUGCCUCAUAGACUGGGACAACUAUUGGAAACGAUAGCUAAUACCGGAUAACAGCAUUAACUGCAUGGUUGAUGUUUAAAAGUUGGUUUUGCUAACACUAUGAGAUGGCUUUGCGGUGCACUAGCUAGUUGGUGGGGUAAAGGCCUACCAAGGCGACGAUGCAUAGCCGACCUGAGAGGGUGAUCGGCCACACUGGGACUGAGACACGGCCCAGACUCCUACGGGAGGCAGCAGUAGGGAAUCUUCCGCAAUGGGCGAAAGCCUGACGGAGCAACGCCGCGUGAGUGAAGAAGGAUUUCGGUUCGUAAAGCUCUGUUGUUAGGGAAGAAUGAUUGUGUAGUAACUAUACACAGUAGAGACGGACC
This 470-nucleotide ribosomal RNA is filed under the name Gemella haemolysans. Its description in RNAcentral is "bacterial SSU rRNA". It matches the Rfam family "Bacterial small subunit ribosomal RNA", at positions 28 to 478 of the family's 1533-position model. Lineage: Bacteria; Bacillati; Bacillota; Bacilli; Caryophanales; Gemellaceae. The record is from RNAcentral.